Molecule: ribosomal RNA, 837 nt
Filed under: uncultured bacterium
Lineage: Bacteria
Description: bacterial SSU rRNA
Rfam family: Bacterial small subunit ribosomal RNA
Source: RNAcentral
AGAAUCAACGCUGGCGGCGCGCCUAACACAUGCAAGUCGAACGAGAAAGUGGAGCAAUCCAUGAGUAAAGUGGCGUACGGGUGAGUAACACGUGGAUCAUCUGCCUUUUAGUGGGGAAUACCGCUGGGAAACCGGCGACAAUACCGCAUAAGCUCGAGAGAGGAAAGCCGAAAGGCGCUGAAAGAGGAGUCCGCGGUCGAUUAGCUGGUUGGUAGGGUAAUGGCCUACCAAGGCUGUGAUCGAUAGCCGGCCUGAGAGGGCACACGGCCACACUGGCACUGAAACACGGGCCAGACUCCUACGGGAGGCAGCAGUGGGGAAUCUUGCACAAUGGGGGAAACCCUGAUGCAGCGACGCCGCGUGAGCGAUGAAGCCCUUCGGGGUGUAAAGCUCUUUCGGCAGGGAAGAUUAUGACGGUACCUGCAGAAGCAGCUGCGGCUAACUACGUGCCAGCAGCCGCGGUAAUACGUAGGCAGCAAGCGUUGUUCGGAGUUACUGGGCGUAAAGGGUGCGUAGGCGGCUCUAUAAGUAUGGUGUGAAAUCUCCCGGCUUAACUGGGAGGGUGCGCUAUAGACUGUGGGGCUCGAGUGUGGGAGAGGAAAGUGGAAUUCCUGGUGUAGCGGUGAAAUGCGUAGAUAUCAGGAGGAACACCGGUGGUGUAAACGGCUUUCUGGACCAUAACUGACGCUGAGGCACGAAAGCGUGGGUAGCAAACAGGAUUAGAUACCCUGGUAGUCCACGCCCUAAACGAUGCAUAUUUGGUGUGGGUCAUUCAGUUGAUCCGUGCCGGAGCUAACGCGUUAAAUAUGCCGCCUGGGGAGUUCAGUCGCAAGGCUG